UACGUAGGGACCGAGCGUUGUCCGGAAUCAUUGGGCGUAAAGAGCGUGUAGGCGGCCGAUCAAGUUCCGCGUGAAAUCUCACGGCUCAACCGUGAGCAGCCGUGGAAAACUGGUCGGCUAGAGUGCGGGAGAGGAGAGUGGAAUUCCUGGUGUAGCGGUGAAAUGCGCAGAUAUCAGGAAGAACACCCGUGGCGAAGGCGGCUCUCUGGAACGCAACUGACGCUGAGACGCGAAAGCGUGGGGAGCAAACAGGAUUAGAUACCCUGGUAGUCCACGCCGUAAACGAUGGAUGCUAGGUGUGGGCGGUGUCGACUCCGUCCGUGCCGAAGCUAACGCAUUAAGCAUCCCGCCUGGGGAGUACGGCCGCAAGGCUAAA
Molecule: ribosomal RNA, 376 nt
Filed under: uncultured bacterium
Lineage: Bacteria
Description: bacterial SSU rRNA
Rfam family: Bacterial small subunit ribosomal RNA
Source: RNAcentral